AACGUAGGUGGCAAGCGUUAUCCGGAUUUACUGGGCGUAAAGCGUGUGCAGGCGGGUGGACAAGUGGUGUAUGAAAUCGCCAGGCUAAACCUGGCGGGGUUAUGCCAGACUGUCCGUCUGGAGUGCGAGAGAGGGGCGUGGAAUUCCGGGUGUAGUGGGUGAAAUGCGUAGAUAUGCGGAGGAACACCGAUGGCGAAGGCAAUCCCCUGGACCUGUACUGACGCUCAUGCACGAAAGCGUGGGGAGCAAACAGG
RNAcentral lists this ribosomal RNA (254 nucleotides) under uncultured bacterium. RNAcentral's name for it is "partial 16S ribosomal RNA". It matches the Rfam family "Bacterial small subunit ribosomal RNA", at positions 524 to 776 of the family's 1533-position model. The record is from RNAcentral.